Perognathus longimembris pacificus (Pacific pocket mouse) is the source of this 163-nucleotide long non-coding RNA. RefSeq lists it as uncharacterized. The transcript is spliced from 3 exons. Lineage: Eukaryota; Metazoa; Chordata; Mammalia; Rodentia; Heteromyidae. The record is from RefSeq and is a predicted model, not a curated record.
UUUGUAUUUAUACCCCAAUUAAAUCCUUCUAUUCAUGCUCAUUUUUCAACAACAACAAAAAUCUCUGUGAAAGUCUUGGUUAACUUACUUUGGAAAAAGAGAGAAUGAUUCAUACUAGGAGCCAGUGACUCUUGCUUUGCAAUAAAAUGUAAAACAGUGCAAA